This 71-nucleotide transfer RNA is filed under the name Marmota monax (woodchuck). Its description in RNAcentral is "tRNA.Val". It matches the Rfam family "tRNA". Rfam says of the family: Transfer RNA (tRNA) molecules are approximately 80 nucleotides in length. Their secondary structure includes four short double-helical elements and three loops (D, anti-codon, and T loops). The record is from RNAcentral. Lineage: Eukaryota; Metazoa; Chordata; Mammalia; Rodentia; Sciuridae.
GGGGUUGUAGCUCAUUGGUAGAGCACUUGCCUCACAGGUGAGAGGCACUGGGUUCAGUCCUCAGCACCACA